AUUGAACGCUGGCGGCAGGCCUAACACAUGCAAGUCGCACGAGUGGCGGACGGGUGAGUAAUGUCUGGGAAACUGCCUGAUGGAGGGGGAUAACUACUGGAAACGGUAGCUAAUCCCGCAUACCAUCGGAUGUGCCCAGAUGGGAUUAGCUAGUAGGUGGGGUAAAGGCUCACCUAGGCGACGAUCCCUAGCUGGUCUGAGAGGAUGACCAGCCACACUGGAACUGAGACACGGUCAAGACUCCUACGGGAGGCAGCAGGGGGGAAUAUGGCACAAUGGGCGCAAGCAUGAUGAAGCCAUGCCGCGAGUAUGAAGAAGGCCUUCGGGGUGUAAAGUACUUUCAGCGGGGAGGCGUUACCCGCUGAUGAAGAACCGGAUAACUCCGUGCCAGAAGCCGCGGUAAUUC
This 406-nucleotide ribosomal RNA is filed under the name uncultured bacterium. RNAcentral's name for it is "partial 16S ribosomal RNA". It matches the Rfam family "Bacterial small subunit ribosomal RNA", at positions 30 to 526 of the family's 1533-position model. The record is from RNAcentral.